Small nucleolar RNA from Otolemur garnettii (small-eared galago), 113 nucleotides. Its record names the gene SNORA70. It matches the Rfam family "Small nucleolar RNA SNORA70". From Rfam's summary of the family: snoRNA U70 seems to be exclusive to mammals and is a member of the H/ACA class of snoRNA which contain H (ANANNA) and ACA box motifs. H/ACA box snoRNAs are involved in the conversion of uridines to pseudouridines (5-ribosyluracil) a constituent of structural RNAs (transfer, ribosomal, small nuclear, and small nucleolar). The record is from Ensembl. Lineage: Eukaryota; Metazoa; Chordata; Mammalia; Primates; Galagidae.
CUGCAGCUAAUUAGCUGACAAUGCUCCUUUCCUCUGGGGCCAGGUGUGCAAUGGCCUCCUUGGUAGCAUCCUGUUGCUUGUAUAGGUUGCUCUAAAGGACCUGGGAGACAUUC